Molecule: transfer RNA, 73 nt
Organism: Lewinella sp. 4G2
Lineage: Bacteria; Pseudomonadati; Bacteroidota; Saprospiria; Saprospirales; Lewinellaceae
Rfam family: tRNA
About the family: Transfer RNA (tRNA) molecules are approximately 80 nucleotides in length. Their secondary structure includes four short double-helical elements and three loops (D, anti-codon, and T loops). Further hydrogen bonds mediate the characteristic L-shaped molecular structure. tRNAs have two regions of fundamental functional importance: the anti-codon, which is responsible for specific mRNA codon recognition, and the 3' end, to which the tRNAs corresponding amino acid is attached (by aminoacyl-tRNA synthetases). tRNAs cope with the degeneracy of the genetic code in two manners: having more than one tRNA (with a specific anti-codon) for a particular amino acid; and 'wobble' base-pairing, i.e. permitting non-standard base-pairing at the 3rd anti-codon position.
Source: Rfam
GGGCCCAUAGCUUAGUGGAUAGAGCACCUGACUUCUAAUCUGGCGGUCGCAGGUUCGAAUCCUGCUGGGCUCA